Molecule: ribosomal RNA, 951 nt
Filed under: Triticum aestivum (bread wheat)
Lineage: Eukaryota; Viridiplantae; Streptophyta; Magnoliopsida; Poales; Poaceae
Description: partial small subunit ribosomal RNA
Source: RNAcentral
GCAGAGGCUGUAGCUGAUGCCAACAAAGCAAUUGAACUUGAUCCUUCGAUGCAUAAAGCAUACCUUCGGAAGGGCUCUGCUUGCAUCAAGCUGGAGGAAUACCAAACUGCAAAGGCUGCUCUUGAAGUGGGUUCUUCUUAUGCAUCUGGUGACUCGAGGUUUACUCGUCUGAUGAAGGAGUGUGAUGAUCGUAUUGCUGAGGAGGCUAGCCAGGUGCCAGUAAAGAAUGCCGCUGCGGCUGCUUCGGGGGCAUCUUCCGGGGCUACAACUGUGGCUACUGAAGCUGAGGACCAGGAUGGUGCAAAUAUGGAGAAUGCACAGCCAACGAUGGAAGUGCCAAGCAAGCCCAAAUACAGGCAUGACUACUACAAUACUCCUACAGAAGUGGUACUGACUAUAUUUGCUAAGGGUGUUCCAGCUGACAGCGUGGUUGUUGACUUUGGUGAACAGAUGCUGAGUGUCUCAAUUGAACUUCCCGGUGAGGAACCAUACCAUUUUCAGCCUCGUCUGUUUUCAAAGAUCGUCCCAGAUAAGUGCAAGUAUACUGUGUUGUCUACAAAGGUUGAAAUGCGCCUUGCAAAAGCUGAGCCAGUAACUUGGACAUCAUUGGAUUAUACUGGUAAACCAAAGGCUCCUCAGAAGAUAAAUGUACCAGCUGAAUCAGCCCAGAGGCCAUCUUAUCCGUCAUCAAAAUCCAAAAAGGACUGGGAUAAGCUUGAAGCUGAAGUGAAAAAACAGGAGAAGGAUGAAAAACUUGAUGGUGAUGCUGCAUUGAACAAAUUUUUCCGUGAAAUUUACAGUGAUGCUGAUGAAGAUAUGCGUAGAGCAAUGAUGAAGUCUUUUGUGGAGUCUAAUGGAACCGUUCUCUCAACCAACUGGAAGGAUGUCGGGAAAAAGACGGUUGAAGGAAGCCCUCCUGAUGGAAUGGAGCUCAAGAAGUGGGAGUAUUAA